UCGCCUGUUUAUCAAAAACAUAGUUUUAUGAUAUUAUAUAAAAUAUUUUCUGCCCAGUGUCACAGAUAAAUGGCCGCAGUACCUUGACUGUGCUAAGGUAGCAUAAUCAAUUGGCUUUUAAUUGAAGUCUAGAAUGAAUGGGAUAAUGGAAUUUAGCUGUCUUGAUUUUUUUAAUAAAAAUUUAUUUACAAGGUGAAAAUACCUUGAAAAAUAAUAAAGACGAGAAGACCCUAUGAAUUUUUAAAUUUUUUUUGUUGGGGCGACAGUUUAAAAGAAAAAUCUUAAAUUUUGAAUAUAUAACGAUUUUUUUAAUAAAAAUUAAAUUACCUUAGGGAUAACAGCAUUAUUAUAUUAAUAGUUUGUGACCUCGAUGUUGGACUAGGAACUAAAAGGCUAACCGUCUUUAUAGAUUUGUUCUGUUCGAACAAUAUUAUCCUACGUGAUCUGAGUUCAGACCGGA
This 460-nucleotide ribosomal RNA is filed under the name Gyraulus sp. clade A TS-2018. RNAcentral describes it as "partial 16S ribosomal RNA". It matches the Rfam family "Bacterial large subunit ribosomal RNA", at positions 1796 to 2620 of the family's 2925-position model. The record is from RNAcentral. Lineage: Eukaryota; Metazoa; Mollusca; Gastropoda; Planorbidae.